UGGCGGACGGGUGAGUAACGCGUGGGUAACCUGCCUCAUACAGGGGGAUAACAGUUAGAAAUGGCUGCUAAUACCGCAUAAGACCACAGCACCGCAUGGUGCAGGGGUAAAAACUCCGGUGGUAUGAGAUGGACCCGCGUCUGAUUAGGUAGUUGGUGGGGUAACGGCCUACCAAGCCGACGAUCAGUAGCCGACCUGAGAGGGUGACCGGCCACAUUGGGACUGAGACACGGCCCAG
RNAcentral lists this ribosomal RNA (238 nucleotides) under uncultured bacterium. Its description in RNAcentral is "partial 16S ribosomal RNA". It matches the Rfam family "Bacterial small subunit ribosomal RNA", at positions 96 to 334 of the family's 1533-position model. The record is from RNAcentral.